This 374-nucleotide ribosomal RNA is filed under the name uncultured organism. RNAcentral's name for it is "bacterial SSU rRNA". It matches the Rfam family "Bacterial small subunit ribosomal RNA", at positions 526 to 896 of the family's 1533-position model. The record is from RNAcentral.
CGUAGGGUGCGAGCGUUAAUCGGAAUUACUGGGCGUAAAGUGUGCGCAGGUGGCCGCGCAAGUCGAGUGUGAAAUCCCCGAGCUUAACUUGGGAAUUGCGCUCGAAACUACGUGGCUCGAGUGUGGCAGAGGAAGGUGGAAUUCCACGUGUAGCGGUGAAAUGCGUAGAGAUGUGGAGGAACACCGAUGGCGAAGGCAGCCUUCUGGGCCAACACUGACGCUCAUGCACGAAAGCGGUGGGGAGCAAACAGGAUUAGAUACCCUGGUAGUCCACGACCCUAAACGAUGAUGACUAGUUGUUGGGGGAGUUAAAUCCCUUAGUAACGCAGCUAACGCGUGAAGUCAUCCGCCUGGGGAGUACGGUCGCAAGAUUA